RNAcentral lists this transfer RNA (66 nucleotides) under Acanthochitona avicula. Its description in RNAcentral is "tRNA-Trp". Lineage: Eukaryota; Metazoa; Mollusca; Polyplacophora; Chitonida; Acanthochitonidae. The record is from RNAcentral.
AAAAUACUAAGUUAAAAAAACUUUAGGCCUUCAAAGCCUGCAAUGAAAAUUAAAUUUCGUAUUUUA